UUCUAUUUUUAGUAGAGACGGGGUUUCACCAUGUUGGCCAGGCUGGUCUCAAAUCCCUGGCCUCAGGUGAUCCGCCAGCCUCAGCCUCCCAAAGUACUGGGAUUACAGGCGUGAGCCACCACGCCAAGGCUUUAUUUAUUUAUUUUUAUCACAAUAGUUGAGGCAAUAAGGGGGAAGGAGGGUGAUUAUGUUGCUUUGUAAUGGUUUGUGAUAUUUGAAACAUCGCGGUGCAUAAUAAAGUAGGUCUUCGAUGAAUACA
Molecule: long non-coding RNA, 259 nt
Organism: Mandrillus leucophaeus (drill)
Lineage: Eukaryota; Metazoa; Chordata; Mammalia; Primates; Cercopithecidae
Exons: 2
Source: RefSeq, a predicted model, not a curated record